RNAcentral lists this ribosomal RNA (253 nucleotides) under uncultured bacterium. RNAcentral describes it as "partial 16S ribosomal RNA". It matches the Rfam family "Bacterial small subunit ribosomal RNA", at positions 524 to 776 of the family's 1533-position model. The record is from RNAcentral.
UACGGAGGAUCCAAGCGUUAUCCGGAUUUAUUGGGUUUAAAGGGUGCGUAGGUGGUUUAUUAAGUCAGGGGUGAAAGACGGCAGCUUAACUGUCGCAGUGCCUAUGAUACUGAUGAACUUGAAUGAACUAGAGGUAGGCGGAAUGUGACAAGUAGCGGUGAAAUGCAUAGAUAUGUCACAGAACACCAAUUGCGAAGGCAGCUUACUAUGGUUUUAUUGACACUGAGGCACGAAAGCGUGGGGAUCAAACAGG